RNAcentral lists this ribosomal RNA (844 nucleotides) under Aureobasidium melanogenum. RNAcentral describes it as "partial large subunit ribosomal RNA". It matches the Rfam family "Eukaryotic large subunit ribosomal RNA", at positions 76 to 940 of the family's 3401-position model. The record is from RNAcentral. Lineage: Eukaryota; Fungi; Ascomycota; Dothideomycetes; Dothideales; Saccotheciaceae.
UGCCCUAGUAACGGCGAGUGAAGCGGCAACAGCUCAAAUUUGAAAGCUGGCCUUCGGGUCCGCAUUGUAAUUUGUAGAGGAUGCUUUGGGUGAAACGCCAGUCUAAGUUCCUUGGAACAGGACGUCAUAGAGGGUGAGAAUCCCGUAUGUGACUGGAAAUGUUAACCUAUGUAAAGCUCCUUCGACGAGUCGAGUUGUUUGGGAAUGCAGCUCUAAAUGGGAGGUAAAUUUCUUCUAAAGCUAAAUAUUGGCGAGAGACCGAUAGCGCACAAGUAGAGUGAUCGAAAGAUGAAAAGCACUUUGGAAAGAGAGUUAAAAAGCACGUGAAAUUGUUGAAAGGGAAGCGCUUGCAAUCAGACUUGUUUAAACUGUUCGGCCGGUCUUCUGACCGGUUUACUCAGUUUGGACAGGCCAGCAUCAGUUUCGGCGGCCGGAUAAAGGCUCUGGGAAUGUGGCCUUCACUUCGGUGAAGGUGUUAUAGCCCAGGGUGUAAUACGGCCAGCCGGGACUGAGGUCCGCGCUUCGGCUAGGAUGCUGGCGUAAUGGUUGUAAGCGACCCGUCUUGAAACACGGACCAAGGAGUCUAACAUCUAUGCGAGUGUUCGGGUGUCAAACCCCUGCGCGUAAUGAAAGUGAACGGAGGUGGGAACCGCAAGGUGCACCAUCGACCGAUCCUGAUGUCUUCGGAUGGAUUUGAGUAAGAGCAUAGCUGUUGGGACCCGAAAGAUGGUGAACUAUGCCUGAAUAGGGUGAAGCCAGAGGAAACUCUGGUGGAGGCUCGCAGCGGUUCUGACGUGCAAAUCGAUCGUCAAAUUUGGGUAUAGGGGCGAAAGACUAAUCGAAC